Molecule: ribosomal RNA, 433 nt
Filed under: uncultured bacterium
Lineage: Bacteria
Description: partial 16S ribosomal RNA
Rfam family: Bacterial small subunit ribosomal RNA
Source: RNAcentral
AACGAACGCUGGCGGCAUGCCUAACACAUGCAAGUCGAACGAGACCUUCGGGUCUAGUGGCGCACGGGUGCGUAACGCGUGGGAACCUGCCCUCAGGUUCGGAAUAACUUCUCGAAAGGGGUGCUAAUACCGGAUAAUGUCUUCGGACCCAAGAUUUAUCGCCUUUGGAUGGGCCUGUGUUGGAUUAGCUAGUUGGUAGGGUAAAAGCCUACCAAGGCGACGUUCCAUAGCUGGUCUGAGAGGAUGUUCAGGCACACUGGGACUGAGACACGGCCCGGACUCCUACGGGAGGCAGCAGUGGGGAAUAUUGGACAAUGGGCGAAAGCCGGAUCCAGCAAUGCCGCGUGAGUGAUGAAGGCCUUAGGGUUGUAAAGCUCUUUUACCCGGGAUGAUAAUGACAGUACCGGGAGAGUAAGCGCCGGCUAACUCCGUG